AGUAACACAUAUCCAACCUGCCGUCUACUCUUGGACAGCCUUCUGAAAGGAAGAUUAAUACAAGAUGGCAUCAUGAGUUCACAUGUUCACAUGAUUAAAGGUAUUCCGGUAGACGAUGGGGAUGCGUUCCAUUAGAUAGUAGGCGGGGUAACGGCCCACCUAGUCUUCGAUGGAUAGGGGUUCUGAGAGGAAGGUCCCCCACAUUGGAACUGAGACACGGUCCAA
This 225-nucleotide ribosomal RNA is filed under the name uncultured bacterium. RNAcentral's name for it is "partial 16S ribosomal RNA". It matches the Rfam family "Bacterial small subunit ribosomal RNA", at positions 109 to 334 of the family's 1533-position model. The record is from RNAcentral.